Molecule: long non-coding RNA, 4000 nt
Organism: Bos taurus (domestic cattle)
Lineage: Eukaryota; Metazoa; Chordata; Mammalia; Artiodactyla; Bovidae
Source: Ensembl
AAAACAGAAUACAAAACAGACCUUUUGCCUGUCUCUACACCCAGCGCCACCGCAAGCCACAGAAGCACUCGAACUCUGGGACAGACAGGGGCGCUGGUGAACCAGGACAGGGGCUGGCACAGUGUUGGGCACUCCAGUAGAUCCGGGACUUUGUGGCUUUUAUAAUGCAGUCACACGGAAGCCGAAGUAUACCUAGACACAAAGUUUCCCUCAAUGACUCUGACAGUCGAGAUACUUUUAUUUCCUAAGUUCCAGCCGGGUCUGGCACACAAGCCUGCUCUCCAGACCCACACUCUCUGCAGCGCGACUUCACGCACGCGCGCAGACUCCUCCCCCCCCCCCCCCCCCGCCAUCAGUUCUCCCAGGCUCCGCCCCUCAGGCGGAUAUUCUCCUACAACUUCUGAAAUCGCCCGGCCCCAUCCCUCCCUGCCUUCACCUCUAAUUGGACGCUGGCCUCUAUAGGCUCCGCCCCUCGGCGACGUGAGCCCGCUUCCCUCCGAGUCUAGGCGCCGAGGGGGCGGGGCGGGGCGGGGCGUCUGCGCCCUAUUGUCAUGGAGACGGGAAGCCGGCGGCGGCGGUGGCGGGCAUAGCCCAGCAGAGGUGGCAGCGAACCGGCCGCGACUGAGGCGAGGCCGAGCAGCCCCGAGCGCGCGGAGCCGACCGCUGGCGGCCUCUCAGGCAGCCAAGGGAGCAGUGUUCUCCGGGGCUCGGGCUGGGCCGGGGUGAUCGCGGGGAGUGCCCAGGAGCGUCCCCGCCCUGCUCGCGUCGCUCGCGCUCUUGCGGCCCUUCAGCUCCCCAGCGCCCGCCCCCGGCUCCGCCCGCCGCCGCCGCCGCCGCCGCCGCCGCAGCCCCUCGCGCUAACGGUCGGUAGCGGCCCGCGCGCGCCGCCAGCCGGGGGCUCGCGCCAGCCACGAGGGAGCGUCCGCGGCUCACGCUCCCGCGCUGCGGAGGAGAGGUUAUGAGUAUGAUGCUUCCAUAUACGUUUGGAUGUUUUCAGCUAAGUUCACUUCUGAACUGUGGGGCUCCUCCAAGUGUUGACUGAAAUCUGUCCUUGAGCAUCCCCACGCUCAUCUAAUCUACAGUCCAUAAUGGAGCCACUGUACUGGCUUUUGGAAGGAGGAGAUUCUGAAGAUAGGGAGGAAAUUUGUUGAGAGCUGGACUACAUCUCAAGAUCCCUCCAAGUCUAAAGAAGAUGCCACAAAUACCAUCAACUACAAAAUGAAAGGAAUAUGCGUCCAGUGGUGGAUUUUUGCAGACUUUAGCAGGCUCUACCCUUCCACCAUGCUUAUCCUUCAGGAAUGUGCUGGACAACUCUAUCAAUGUUUGGGGUAAAGGAACAUGAUUCAUGAAAAGGAUGAAUCUCCCUUAGAAGGCUUGGGGAUCUUCUCAACCCAGGAAUCAAACCGAGGUCUUCUGUGUUGCAGACAGAUUCUUUACCAACUGAGCUAUCAGGGAAGCUUAGGUAAAAAACUCAAUCAUCUAAAUUAGAGAGAUCCCCAAAACCUUAUGUGCAUAUGAAUCACUUGGGGAUCUUGUUUAAAUGCAAAUUAUGUGAUUCUGUGGGGGCAGGGGGACAGUGGUUUGGGCAGGACUGAGAUUCUGCAUUUUUAACAAGCUGCUUGUUCCCAGACCUCUCAGUAGCUGGGCUCUAAAAUAUAACUUUUGUGAACACAUUCCCCUUAUUCGCUGCAGUAGUCUAUGUACAUAAACACAUGCUUUAUAUAUAUCUUUAUAUUCCUGCUUUCUAAAACAUUAAUUGAGAAAUAGGCCAUUGUUACAGAAACCACAAUGCACUUCAUGAAAAAACAUUGGGCACAAAGGCAAAACAGUGACAAAUUGAUACUUUCUUGCUUGGUCACGCCUGAUUUAAGGAAACGAACCCCAAAUAGGCUAUGUGAAUUGGAAAUUGACUUCAACCACAUUUAAAUUGUUGUCUUUUAAAAUAUUAGCAGUUGAGUGUGUAAACCAAUAUUUAUUUUCUAAUCAAAGGUUUGUGGCAAAUGGUUUAUAAAUGAAAGAAAUGAGGGAAGAAUGCUUUGAAAUGUUUCUCAUAAUAGAAAUGGAAAUAGGAUAUUUUAUUUCUUUAAAUGGCAGGCACAGGCUUCAGCUAAAAUUCAUCCUGCUCUGGAAAGAGGAAAUUAUAUGAAAAACUGAUCAUAGUAUAAAAGCCCAGACCAGCACCUCUCUGCCAACGAUCAUAAUAAAUAUCUUUCAGCGGAAAAAAAGUUGAAGAUCCAGCUACAUUAAGGAAGAAUCUAUUAACAGAAUAAUUGUAUACUGAGGAUCCCUUUAAGAAACACUUCCAAAAUUCCAUUAUCUUAACUGUCACUCGCACUUUGAGUUGUCUCAACACUGUGUGUUUUCAUGAAUUACCAGAGCUGUUUGUUUUUUCCUUUAUCAGUCAUCACCCUGUCAGCCGGGCCAUUCAUAACGACUUUUGGCAGCUCAUCAGGAGAGUUCAGAGCUUGAAUAGGACCCUAUCAACUCUCACACCUCAUUGUGUGAAACUGUUUACCAGCAUUGCCUUUUUCUGUAAAUAUUACAAGCAGAGCCCUGAGAAGUGGAGAUGCGUGAAAACAAAAUGGACAAAUCUUGUAGCGGUUGGUGGAGAUGGCAGGUGGGGGUGGGGUGGGGGGAGUGACUGAGCAUUUACAAGUACUCAAGUUUCCUUUAUUGGGCUGAAUCCUACCUAGUCACUGGGCUUGAAUUCUUGUAUAUGCUGGUUAAUUAGACAAUAUUUAAUUUGACUUAACAUUGGUGUCAGUUUGGUGAAAGUGAGGCUCUGUAAUUAGGGAGUACAGACCGGGUUUCUGGCACAGUUCUGCUCACUUCCUCUAAUUUAAUGCCCCCCUUUCCAGUGUAUUAUCACCCUGGAUGUGUUGAGUUCCCUGCUGUCUUUUCUGCUUGACUGGUAACAAGGUGGCCCACAUGAACACCAACAGCAAAUGGACUGACUCAAGUCUCCUGGUCUUAACAGCCUGAAGUUCUGCCAGAUUCACCCAUCAGAAAUAAUUUCCUCUUGAAAACGAAUGUCAGUAAUUCUCUAUGGAAGCUAAUAUCACCAACUUGCAAAUGGCUGGUUGGGGUGCUCCGUAUUUGGGAUGAUAAACUGCUGUGUGUCAUCUGAAGAGGCUGGACUAUGGCCUUUCUUCACUGAUCACCAAGCCGGAAACCUCUGCUGGCUUUUCUUGCUGAUGAUUCCCUCUGCCUGGAAAGCCUUCUUCCCCAGAUGGUCCCAUAACUACUACCUUCUCUUCACUUGGGACUGAGAUCAAAUGACACUUUCUCCAAGAGGCCCUGCCUUGACCCCAGGUCCCAAAGAACCUCCCCCAUCAGUGUAUCCUGGCAUUCUCUUUUAUUUUCUCUUUAGCAUGUAAGAUUCUUUAGUAAGAACCCUAGAAUUGGACUUCCCUGGUGGUUCAAGAAUGGUUGAGAAUCUUGCUGCCCAUGCAGGGGAACAUGGGUUCAAUUCCUGGUCCAGGAAGAUGCCACAUGCCGCGGGGAAACGAAGCCCGUGCACCGCAACUACUGAACCAGUGCUCUAGAGCCUGGGAGCUGCAGCUACGGAAGCCCUCACGCCCCAGAGCCUAUGCUGCAACAAGAGAAGCCACUGCAAUGAGCAGCAGCAGCCCCCACUCACCACAACUGGAGAAAGCCCGUGAGCAGCGAGACCCAACACAGCUGAAAAUAAAUAUAUAAAUAAUUGUAAAACCCUAGAAUUCCACUAUUUGAUAAGAAUAAAUGUAUAUAAUAGUUAUUGAUAAGUUAGUAUUUUGUCAUUUUUAAGUUGCUAAGGAAUCUCUUUAAUAUGAAGUACUCUGAAGGCUUACAAUACAUUGCUUAUCUUUUUAGAGUCAGACCAUUACUUUGGAGGGCAUGCAAAUAUAUGGCUAGGGGAAAAUGUCUGUAUUUGGUUACCUUACAGGUUCUAAAGCUAAAUAACUUCUGUGCAUGAUCAGUAGAUUAAAAAUUUACUCUCAAAAAGUUUUUCUCAUCCUUG